RNAcentral lists this ribosomal RNA (510 nucleotides) under uncultured bacterium. RNAcentral's name for it is "partial 16S ribosomal RNA". It matches the Rfam family "Bacterial small subunit ribosomal RNA", at positions 28 to 507 of the family's 1533-position model. The record is from RNAcentral.
GACGAACGCUGGCGGCGUGCUUAACACAUGCAAGUCGAACGAAGAGCGACGGAAGCUUGCUUCUAUCAAUCUUAGUGGCGAACGGGUGAGUAACGCGUAAUCAACCUGCCCUUCAGAGGGGGACAACAGCUGGAAACGACUGCUAAUACCGCAUACGAUCUAACCUCGGCAUCGAGGAUAGAUGAAAGGCGGCCUCUACAUGUAAGCUAUCACUGAAGGAGGGGAUUGCGUCUGAUUAGCUAGUUGGAGGGGUAACGGCCCACCAAGGCGAUGAUCAGUAGCCGGUCUGAGAGGAUGAACGGCCACAUUGGGACUGAGACACGGCCCAGACUCCUACGGGAGGCAGCAGUGGGGAAUCUUCCGCAAUGGACGAAAGUCUGACGGAGCAACGCCGCGUGAGUGAUGACGGCCUUCGGGUUGUAAAGCUCUGUUAAUCGGGACGAAAGGCCUUCUUGCGAAUAGUGAGAAGGAUUGACGGUACCGGAAUAGAAAGCCACGGCUAACUACGUG